This is a non-coding RNA of Marmota monax (woodchuck), 84 nucleotides long. The record is from the annotation of a RefSeq genome assembly. Lineage: Eukaryota; Metazoa; Chordata; Mammalia; Rodentia; Sciuridae.
GGUAGUGGACUGGGGAUUUAGCUCAGUUGGUAAAGUGCUUGCCUCACAUGCUCGAGGUCCUGGGUUCAAUCCCCAGCACCACCA